CUGCUGACACAUGUAAGCACACAGGAGCAUGCCUGAGUUAGUUAGGGGCAAGAGAAGAGUAAAAGGACAUCAGAUUUAGAUCAUUAUUUCUUAGCUCUUAAGGCUACUUUUUAAUGAGGGGUGUGAUUUGUGUUUGAAAAUUACUGUGAUUUAGUUUGCAUCUACAAAAACGGCUGAAGAAACAGAUUAAGGGCUGAUCUAACCUCCAAGCUCUGAUCCAUGGCACUCGCUGGGGAAGCUGGCCAGCAGCCUCUCACCCAGCAGUUCCCCAUCCCACAGAGAUCUGAUCCAAAUCGCAACCCAAAGCGGUCCGUUCCAAACAAGAAAGAAGGGAAACGGCAGCCCGAGGGAAGAGCUGACAGCGUGACACACUGUGCGGCGGCGCCAGGCGAUGCUUACCCGUCAGGAGUCAUCGGGGUGACUGUGGCAGCGACCAGACCCUCCAGCUUCUUUCUGGGUGUCAUCGAGCUGAUCGCGGGAAAAAUAAAGAAAUAGAAAAAUAAAGAAAAAAAGAUUAACAGUCCCCCAUCUUUAAGCUUUGUCUCCACUCGCUCCAGAUAACUGCAAGUACCAAG
This 575-nucleotide long non-coding RNA is filed under the name Gallus gallus (chicken). Lineage: Eukaryota; Metazoa; Chordata; Aves; Galliformes; Phasianidae. The record is from RNAcentral.